GUGUCAGCCGCCGCGGUAAUACGUAGGGUGCGAGCGUUAAUCGGAAUUACUGGGCGUAAAGCGUGCGCAGGCGGUGAGUUAAGUCUGCUGUGAAAGCCCCGGGCUCAACCUGGGAAUGGCAGUGGAAACUGGCUCGCUGGAGUAUGGCAGAGGGGGGUGGAAUUCCGCGUGUAGCAGUGAAAUGCGUAGAGAUGCGGAGGAACACCGAUGGCGAAGGCAGCCCCCUGGGCCAAUACUGACGCUCAGGCACGAAAGCGUGGGGAGCAAACAGGAUUAGAAACCCUCGUAGUCC
Molecule: ribosomal RNA, 292 nt
Filed under: uncultured bacterium
Lineage: Bacteria
Description: partial 16S ribosomal RNA
Rfam family: Bacterial small subunit ribosomal RNA
Source: RNAcentral